GCGAGCACCAGCCACAGAUGGUCUAUUACACAACCGUGUGUUGUAAUACCUGGUGUGUGUUAGCUUUUAACUAGAUUUUGGGCCUAAAUCAUUCUCGAAGUUGGAAGACAAGCCUAUAUAUAUCCUUGAGAACUCUUUGGACGAGAUAUACUUUAAAUACUUCAUUAGCCAUCAUUAGAUACAUAUUUUCGAGCUCUUAGAGAGAGAAAGAGUUCCAGAGAGCGAUUGAAGCAAGAGUUCAUCAACGAUUGGAGACGGAUCGAAGAUCGGCGAUAAGACAGGGAUUGCUCGAACAACUUUAGCUUUUCGCAAUGUUCUAUGGCUUUUCAUCGAACACCUUUAGUGCAUUUCCUUUGGGUUACACUUUUUGGUGUUGGCAUGGAGAGUUGGAUAUUGGACAAUCAUCUCAGCAUGCUACAAUUCAAAUAGAGGUAGAUGAAUAAGUAAAUAUAGUGGAGAAUAUUGAAACUGAGUACCAUGAUAAUAUUGUAACUCAUGAU
RNAcentral lists this long non-coding RNA (500 nucleotides) under Linum usitatissimum (flax). Its description in RNAcentral is "long non-coding RNA (LUSI_LNC002467)". The record is from RNAcentral. Lineage: Eukaryota; Viridiplantae; Streptophyta; Magnoliopsida; Malpighiales; Linaceae.